This is a non-coding RNA of Xylariomycetidae sp. FL0641, 88 nucleotides long. The record is from the annotation of a GenBank genome assembly. Lineage: Eukaryota; Fungi; Ascomycota; Sordariomycetes.
AACCCAGUAGCUCAGUUGGUAAGAGGCCUGACAUCUCCCAAGGUUGUCAGUGUCUCAGCAGACCUAGGUUCGAUUCCUAGGGGGGUUC